RNAcentral lists this transfer RNA (92 nucleotides) under Felis catus (domestic cat). It matches the Rfam family "tRNA". From Rfam's summary of the family: Transfer RNA (tRNA) molecules are approximately 80 nucleotides in length. Their secondary structure includes four short double-helical elements and three loops (D, anti-codon, and T loops). Further hydrogen bonds mediate the characteristic L-shaped molecular structure. tRNAs have two regions of fundamental functional importance: the anti-codon, which is responsible for specific mRNA codon recognition, and the 3' end, to which the tRNAs corresponding amino acid is attached (by aminoacyl-tRNA synthetases). tRNAs cope with the degeneracy of the genetic code in two manners: having more than one tRNA (with a specific anti-codon) for a particular amino acid; and 'wobble' base-pairing, i.e. permitting non-standard base-pairing at the 3rd anti-codon position. Lineage: Eukaryota; Metazoa; Chordata; Mammalia; Carnivora; Felidae. The record is from Rfam by way of RNAcentral. RNAcentral also lists the same sequence under 2 other names.
GCCUGAGUGGCUUAUUUGGUUAAGUGCCUGACUCUUGAUUUUGACUCAAGUCGUGAUCUCACAGUUUGUGAGAUCAAGCCCCGCCUCAGGCA